UACGUAGGGGGCAAGCGUUGUCCGGAAUCAUUGGGCGUAAAGCGCGUGUAGGCGGUUUCGUAAGUCUGCUGUGAAAGUCGGAGGCUCAACCUUCGAAAGCCGGUGGAUACUGUGAGACUUGAGUACGGAAGAGGAGAGUGGAAUUCCUGGUGUAGCGGUGAAAUGCGCAGAUAUCAGGAGGAACACCAACGGCGAAGGCAGCUCUCUGGGACGUUACUGACGCUGAGGCUCGAAAGCGUGGGGAGCAAACAGG
This 253-nucleotide ribosomal RNA is filed under the name uncultured bacterium. Its description in RNAcentral is "partial 16S ribosomal RNA". It matches the Rfam family "Bacterial small subunit ribosomal RNA", at positions 524 to 776 of the family's 1533-position model. The record is from RNAcentral.